GGGUGUGUGGACGUUUUUUUGCCUGAAUCGGCUCUGACACACAGCGGUUUUUGUGCGGGUUCGAAUCCCGUCACCCUCG
RNAcentral lists this transfer RNA (79 nucleotides) under Phycisphaeraceae bacterium. RNAcentral's name for it is "tRNA-Cys". The record is from RNAcentral. Lineage: Bacteria; Pseudomonadati; Planctomycetota; Phycisphaerae; Phycisphaerales; Phycisphaeraceae.